AUGUACCUUCUUUUUGCAUUUCUAGGGCAGAGCCUAUGGCAGAGGAGAAAAAGGAGAAAAGGGUGAAGAAGGAGCCCCCGGCUUUCCUGGAUUGAAAGGUGAUAAAGGAGAAAAAGUAAGUCCGAGCCUUUAUUAAUUAUACUGUGAUAAGUUUAUAAAGCUAUUGAGGAAGGCUUAUGAAAAUAGAUCAUCUUAAGUCUUUUGUUUUAUCUCUG
This 215-nucleotide long non-coding RNA is filed under the name Anser cygnoides (Swan goose). RNAcentral describes it as "lncRNA (ENSACDG00005006817.1)". The record is from RNAcentral. Lineage: Eukaryota; Metazoa; Chordata; Aves; Anseriformes; Anatidae.